Molecule: ribosomal RNA, 446 nt
Filed under: uncultured bacterium
Lineage: Bacteria
Description: bacterial SSU rRNA
Rfam family: Bacterial small subunit ribosomal RNA
Source: RNAcentral
GCCAGACUCCUACGGGAGGCAGCAGUGGGGAAUAUUGCACAAUGGGGGAAACCCUGAUGCAGCGACGCCGCGUGAGUGAAGAAGUCCUUCGUGAUGUAAAGCUCUCUCAGCAGGGAAGAAAAUGACGGUACCUGACCAAGAAGCCCCGGCUAACUACGUGCCAGCAGCCGCGGUAAUACGUAGGGGGCAAGCGUUAUCCGGAUUUACUGGGUGUAAAGGGAGCGUAGACGGUUGCGCAAGUCUGGAGUGAAAGGCGGGGGCCCAACCCCCGGACUGCUCUGGAAACUGUGUAACUGGAGUGCAGGAGAGGUAAGUGGAAUUCCUAGUGUAGCGGUGAAAUGCGUAGAUAUUAGGAGGAACACCAGUGGCGAAGGCGGCUUACUGGACUGUAACUGACGUUGAGGCUCGAAAGCGUGGGGAGCAAACAGGAUUAGAUACCCCCGUAC